UUUAGACCUCAAAUCAGUCAGGACUACCCGCUGAACUUAAGCAUAUCAAUAAGCGGAGGAAAAGAAACUAACAAGGAUUCCCCUAGUAACGGCGAGUGAAGUGGGAAAAGCUCAACUUUGAAAUCUGGCACCUUCGGUGUCCGAGUUGUAGUCUCAAGAAGUGUUUUCUGUGCUGGUCCAUGUAUGAGUCUGUUGGAACACAGCGUCAUAGAGGGUGACAACCCCGUUCAUGACAUGGAUACCAGUGCUUUGUGAUACACUCUCGAAGAGUCGAGUUGUUUGGGAAUGCAGCUCAAAUUGGGUGGUAAAUUCCAUCUAAAGCUAAAUAUUGGCGAGAGACCGAUAGCAAACAAGUACCGUGAGGGAAAGAUGAAAAGCACUUUGGAAAGAGAGUUAACAGUACGUGAAAUUGUUGAAAGGGAAACGAUUGAAGUCAGACGUGCGUGAUGCGGUUCAGCACUGGUUCGCCAGUGUGUAUUCCGUAUCUUUGCAGGCCAACAUCAGUUUCGGUAGUCGGAUAAAGGUUAGUUGAAUGUGGCACCUUCGGGUGUGUUAUAGCUUCUAACUGAAUACGAUUUCUGGGACUGAGGAACGCAGCGCGCCGCAAGGCAAAGGUUCCGACCUUUUCGCGCUUAGGAUGUUGGUGAAAUGGCUUUAAACGACCCGUCUUGAAACACGGACCAAGGAGUCUAA
This 693-nucleotide ribosomal RNA is filed under the name uncultured Rhodotorula. RNAcentral's name for it is "eukaryotic LSU rRNA". It matches the Rfam family "Eukaryotic large subunit ribosomal RNA", at positions 1 to 678 of the family's 3401-position model. The record is from RNAcentral. Lineage: Eukaryota; Fungi; Basidiomycota.